RNAcentral lists this long non-coding RNA (1320 nucleotides) under Marmota monax (woodchuck). Lineage: Eukaryota; Metazoa; Chordata; Mammalia; Rodentia; Sciuridae. The record is from RNAcentral.
CAGAUGUGGCUCAGUGGUUUAGUGCCCUUCGGUUCAAUCCCCAGUAUGACAAAAAGAAAAGAAGGAGAAGGAGAAGAAGAAGAAGAGAAGGAAAAAAUAAAUUAGAUCAGUAGUUUAGGAAAAAUAAAAUAUCCCUUUUUCAUCUCUAAUUUUGUUCAUUUAGGCCUUCUGUCUCUUUUGGUCUAGUUUGGCUAAAGAUUUAUCAAUUUAUCAAUCUUUUUUGUCUUUUUAAAGAUGGUUCUUUAUUGCAUUGAUCCUUUGUAUUGUUUUUUUUAUCCUCAAUUUUAUUAAUUCAGCUCUAAUUUCUUGUCUUCUACAGGUUUUGGAAUUAGCUUAUUUUUGCUUUUCUAGGGCCUUGAGGUAUAACAGAUUAUGUAGAUACUCAGUGCUAUAAAUUUUCCUCAGCCAGAUGUGGUGAUGCACACCUGUAAUCCCAGCCACUAGAAAGACUGAGGCAGGAAGAUCUCAAGUUCAAAGCCAGCCUCAGCCACUUAGCAAUACCCUAAGAACUUAGUGAGACCCUGUCUCAAAAUAAAAAAUAAAAAGUCCUGGAGAUGUGGCUCAGUGAUUAAGUGUCCCUGGGUUCAGACCCUGGUACCAAAACACACAAAACCUUUCCUGCUAGAACCACUUUCAUAGUAUCCCAAAGAUUUUGAUAUCUCUAUUUUCAUUUAUUUCUAACAAUUCCUGGGGCUGGGGAUGUGGCUCAAGCGGUAGCGUGCUCGCCUGGCAUGCGUGCGGCCUGGGUUCUAUCCUCAGCACCACAUACAAACAAAGAUGUUGUGUCCGCCAAAAAAUAAAUAUUAAAUCUCUCUCUCUCUCUCUUAAAAAAAAAUUCUAAGUAUCUCUGUUCUCAUUUUUUCUAAGAAUUUCUUAUUUCUCCCCUGAUUUAUAAAUUUAUUUUUAAUAGCUUAUUUAUAUGUUUUGUUGCCACGUAAGUAUAAAGAUUACAAAUGAACAUUUUGGGAUAAUGUAUACUUAUAUUAAAAUAAAGCUUAUUUUUCUGUUAAAUAAAUAAAAUAAAAUAAAAUCUAUGGUGAGAGGGCCAGGAAACGACAGAAACAAGGGUAGCUGAUAUAUUGUUCCAGGGAAAAGCUGAAGUACUCCCCCAAAUCACUUUAUGUCUUGAAACCAAAUGUAGAUGAGUUUGAUACAAGGAUAUUAAACAUACCAAUUCAAAAUCAUGCAUGAAAAAAAAAAACACAUGACAAACUAGAGUUUAGCCUAGAAAAUACAAGGUGGUUUAACAUUAGAAAAUCAAUGUGUCAGGUAUAGUGGUGCAUGCUUAUAAUCCCAGUGACUCGGAGGCUGAGGUCAGAG